ACUCCUACGGGAGGCAGCAGUGAGGAAUAUUGGUCAAUGGAGGGAACUCUGAACCAGCCAUCCCGCGUGUAGGAAGACGGCCUUAUGGGUUGUAAACUACUUUUAUACAGGAAGAAACGUACCCUCGUGAGGGUGCCUGACGGUACUGUAGGAAUAAGCACCGGCUAACUCCGUGCCAGCAGCCGCGGUAAUACGGAGGGGUGCGAGCGUUAUCCGGAUUUAUUGGGGUUUAAAGGGGUCCGUAGGCGGAUUAAUAAGUCAGUGGUGAAAUCCCAUCGCUUAACGAUGGAACUGCCAUUGAUACUGUUAGUCUUGAAUGAGGGUGCAGUGGUUGGAAUGUGUAGUGUAGCGGUGAAAUGGCAUAGAUAUUACACAGAACACCGAUUGCGAAGGCAGAUCACUAACCCUAAAUUGACGCUGAGGGACGAAAGCGUGGGGAGCGAACAGGAUUAGAUACCCUGGUAGGAUAGCG
Molecule: ribosomal RNA, 472 nt
Filed under: uncultured bacterium
Lineage: Bacteria
Description: bacterial SSU rRNA
Rfam family: Bacterial small subunit ribosomal RNA
Source: RNAcentral